This 497-nucleotide ribosomal RNA is filed under the name uncultured bacterium. RNAcentral's name for it is "partial 16S ribosomal RNA". It matches the Rfam family "Bacterial small subunit ribosomal RNA", at positions 28 to 507 of the family's 1533-position model. The record is from RNAcentral.
GAUGAACGCUGGCGGCGUGCCUAAUACAUACAGGUCGAGCGAACGGACGAGAAGCUUGCUUCUCUGAUGUUAGCGGCGGACGGGUGAGUAACACGUGGAUAACCUACCUAUAAGACUGGGAUAACUUCGGGAAACCGGAGCUAAUACCGGAUGAUAUUUUGAACCGCAUGGUUCAAAAGUGAAAGACGGUCUUGCUGUCACUUAUAGAUGGAUCCGCGCUGCAUUAGCUAGUUGGUAAGGUAACGGCUUACCAAGGCAACGAUGCAUAGCCGACCUGAGAGGGUGAUCGGCCACACUGGAACUGAGACACGGUCCAGACUCCUACGGGAGGCAGCAGUAGGGAAUCUUCCGCAAUGGGCGAAAGCCUGACGGAGCAACGCCGCGUGAGUGAUGAAGGUCUUCGGACCGUAAAACUCUGUUAUUAGGGAAGAACAUAUGUGUAAGUAACUGUGCACAUCUUGACGGUACCUAAUCAGAAAGCCACGGCUAACUACGUG